GAUGAACGCUGACAGAAUGCUUAACACAUGCAAGUCUACUUGAACUUCGGUUUGGGUGGCGGACGGGUGAGUAACGCGUAAAGAACUUGCCUCACAGAUAGGGACAACAUUUGGAAACGAAUGCUAAUACCUGAUAUUAUGAUUUUAGGGCAUCCUAGAAUUAUGAAAGCUAUAUGCACUGUGAGAGAGCUUUGCGUCCCAUUAGCUAGUUGGAGAGGUAACGGCUCACCAAGGCGAUGAUGGGUAGCCGGCCUGAGAGGGUGAUCGGCCACAAGGGGACUGAGACACGGCCCUUACUCCUACGGGAGGCAGCAGUGGGGAAUAUUGGACAAUGGACCAAGAGUCUGAUCCAGCAAUUCUGUGUGAACGAUGAAGUUUUUCGGAAUGUAAAGUGCUUUCAGUUGGGAAGAAAAAAAUGACGGUACCAACAGAAGAAGUGACGGCUAAAUACGUG
RNAcentral lists this ribosomal RNA (454 nucleotides) under uncultured bacterium. Its description in RNAcentral is "partial 16S ribosomal RNA". It matches the Rfam family "Bacterial small subunit ribosomal RNA", at positions 28 to 507 of the family's 1533-position model. The record is from RNAcentral.